This is a non-coding RNA of Pelobates cultripes (western spadefoot toad), 649 nucleotides long. Lineage: Eukaryota; Metazoa; Chordata; Amphibia; Anura; Pelobatidae. The record is from the annotation of a GenBank genome assembly.
CUUUACUCAAGCUCCACGGCCUUUGUCAACAUUAUCUUAGGACGUCUGAUUCCAUUUUCAUCUCUCUCCCAUACUGCGUCACUUCUUUAUGCAGUGCAUCACUAAUCCUCUUCUGACGCCCAAUCAGCCCAUUAUGUGACCCUGUGUCUUCAUUUCCAGGAUCCACCAUUUUAGAAACGUGAAGAUCCUUGAAAGAAGACCUGGAGGGAUUGGUAAACCAUUACUAACAGGAAGUAAAGCUGGUUCCACUUUCUAAAAAUGGUUGGAGGUCAUCAGGUAGUACAGAUGCAUGGAUCCCUCAGUUGUCAGCUGAGGGAUCCUUAUAGCAAGAGAUCCGCCUUAACAGGCUCUGGAUAAUGUGAAUGAGCAUUGUGAGUAUUUAUCAACUCCUAUCAUGAACUUGUUGCAUUAUGAGUACUGAUGACCUCCCACUAUACACUUGUCUCAAUGCACUUGUCUGCAAAAAUAACAUGUUAUUCUAUCUCAAAUCAAUAGGAUGCAACUGUGGCAGGGACCAGAACCAUUUAUGACAGCAUGAUAUGUUAACAUUGACCUAUGAGAAUCAGUUGUCAUUCUAAUGCCAGUGUGUCCACACACUACAUUAUGAGGGCAACUUUGUUGAAGCUUUUCAAACAUUUUUAUAUUUCUG